Molecule: ribosomal RNA, 436 nt
Filed under: uncultured bacterium
Lineage: Bacteria
Description: bacterial SSU rRNA
Rfam family: Bacterial small subunit ribosomal RNA
Source: RNAcentral
CAGAUGGCGACCGGCGCACGGGUGAGUAACACGUAUCCAACCUGCCGCUUACUCGGGGAUAGCCUUUCGAAAGAAAGAUUAAUACCCGAUGGUAUAAAGAGUUCGCAUGUUCUCUUUAUUAAAGAAUUUCGGUAAGCGAUGGGGAUGCGUUCCAUUAGAUAGUUGGCGGGGUAACGGCCCACCAAGUCUACGAUGGAUAGGGGUUCUGAGAGGAAGGUCCCCCACAUUGGAACUGAGACACGGUCCAAACUCCUACGGGAGGCAGCAGUGAGGAAUAUUGGUCAAUGGGCGCAAGCCUGAACCAGCCAUGUCGCGUGCAGGAAGAACCUGCCCUAUGGGUUGUAAACUGCUUUUAUAGUAGAAGAAACACAUCUACGUGUAGAUGUCUGCCAGUAUACUAUGAAUAAGCAUCGGCUAACUCCGUGCCAGCCGCGGC